CUAAUUGGACUCAACUAGUAGUGAUAUAGAUGUGUCAACAUGUUUGAAAUUAUAAAUCAGUUAGGGUUUUGUAUAUGUGUAAAACCAUGUCCUAUAAUUGAGGAGUUACAUCCAUCAUGCUUUGCAUUUUGAAGCACGUACUAGAACUACUUCCUCCACUACCGGAACGGAAAGCAACGGCUCUAUAACCAACCUCCAUGAUAGAUGGAAGUUGGGUAACCUUGCUUUAUUUAAAAAGGAUUCCCUGCUCACAGAGAAAAGGUUCUUCGUUUUUGGGACUAUCACCAUAAGGACAUACAGGUCUCCAAGUGAGUAGAAGAGCCUUUUGCAUCGUGUUCAUGGCCUCUGCAGGAACAAAUUGGUGAUCUUUUGUAUUCUGCAGGUAAGAUUACACUAAUCUUGCUGCGUUGUGUUCUAGAGUUUACUGUUAGUUUUAGGGUUAAUUCCAACAUUUGGUAUUAGAGCCAUCUAACAGGCCCUAGAUCCAAUGCAUUAUUUCCUAUCACUCUGAGAAUGAUUAGAUUCAUAUUUGCUGGGAAAAUGAUAUAUAUAAUUCUUUAUUUUCCUAACUUAACGAAACUGGUGUGUAUAUUUAAAUACAUGUACGCUAUUUCAAGCCUGCGUUUCUUGCCAUUUGAAGUUGUUAACUGGUAGCAUUAAAACUUGUUCGGACUUGUUAUAUGCAUUUGAUUGAUUUAAAUGGCUGAUUAAUUCUUGUCUUACAAGAAUAUAUUGGUUAAGUCUGACAUGUAGGUAGCUUGAAAUAUUGGAGUCCCGUGACUGUAAAUAGAUCAUUCAAUCUUGAUCAAUAAAAGUAAACUGGGUUAAUUAGUGGGAGUAGAAGUUCUUUCUUGUGCAGUCAUCCUUAGCUUCUACAGGUAGUAUUUUCAUACUUCUAUCUUGUGGUGUUGCUGACAUGUUUCAUAUACAAGUAAUCUUGUUAUUAAAGUCUCACUCCAGAACAACAUAUAUGUAUAUAUAUCGGUAAUUAAUGGCUUGCUAAUGAUUUAGACAAUUGCAGGGCUAUGUAAAUAGUGUUAUGUCGCUAACAAUUUUUUGGGCAUCUAAUGAUUCAUCUUGUUAAAGACUCCAAUUAAAAUAAUCUUCACGAAAAAGUGGGAUUAUCAGGAAUUUUAUUUGACAAAAACUUAAUUGUGGUUUAUGGUUGUCAUUAUUAAUGGUUCAUGUGUAUAAAGUUUUUCAGACACAUGUUGGAAGGCAUGAUGAUGAUAAAGAUAACUCAUCGCAAAGGUUAUCGAGACUAACGGCUUUUGCAGGAGCAACAACCAUGAUAAAGUAUUCUUGAACAAAUGUUUAUAUAAUUUUUCACCAAAGUGAGAAUUAUUAGGAAGUUCUGUUCAAUGUAAUUUUUACAUGAAAUUGUGACUAACAGUUUAUAACAUGAUAUUAAUCUUUCCAAAGAAAGAAAUAAUGAUUGGUUCAAACUGUGACUCAGUGUAUAGUAUUUCAUGAUUCCGUAAGGCAACUUUAGUCUCUUAUCCAAAAAUGUGAUUCAAGUUGGAAUGUGAAUUUUGUGAAAUAGCUAUACAAAUAAGGAUGUGUAAUGCAUAUUUGGCAGUUUAUGUUUCUUGCCCAAAGGUGUAACAUAAAUCGGUGUUUAAUAUUUAAAGUUGUUUCUCAUCCGAGGUUGCGGAGUAGAAGCUUUUCUUUGGUUUCAUCCAUGACUUCUUCAGGUAGGUAAUCAUUCAUCUCUUUACACUUCCAAUUUGUUGUUCGCUGUUGUACUCUUUGCAUAUAGGUAAUGUCUUCUUGAUUACACUAUAAUACAUGUUGAUAUAUAUAUAUAUAUAUAUAUAUAUAUAUAUUGGCACAUAGACAUUGGUGUAAUGCAAUUGUAGCUUAAUAAUUGAAUCGUUGCCCACAUGAUAUUUUAUUCGAUCAAUUUCAAAGUGGGUCUUUGCUUUCCCAUUUGUUUAAUUGUAACACUCUUUUUGCUUUGAGUCAAGAUCCAAUUAAUAAUAGGUUUUUCUUAAACAAUUAUUGAUGAACUUAGAAAGAAAAGUAAUGAAACAUAUCAACUACAUAUAAAAACGACAAAGUUAUCACAUACUUGCAUCAACUAAACAAAACGCAAUGGCUUAGUUGACUUUAGGACCAGUGAUUUUAACGUUCUUUGAUCAAACUUGCAUCUUAAUUAUAACAAAGGGAUCGAUGAUCUUCUUGCCCAAAGGUGUAGAUCAUUAUUUUUGGUUCAAUUAGGAUGGCAUGGUAUGAAUUUAUUUCAAAAAAAAAAAAAAAAAAAUAUAUAUAUAUAUAUAUAUAUAUAUAUAUUUGUGGAAGCCUUGCCCCAAGGUGUUGAAAGUUUUCAUGAGGUAACCCAUGUAAUGCGUGAUCAAGAGAUAAAGUUCUUUAUUUUUAUUUACGAAUGCUUUUGCUAUGAGCCUCAUUAUAGGUAUGUAAGGGACCAAUUUUAAUGAAAGCAUGAGAUAGAAAAUGUUUAUAUAUAUAUAUAUAUAUAUAUAUAUAUAUAUAUAUAUAUAUAUAUAUAUAUAUCUUCAUGAGAGAUGUCGAUGCACUAAAAUUGCUUGGCAAAUUAUGUCUUGAAUAAAGCUUAAUCAAUGGCACAUAUAUGGACCAUGAAAAUGCUUGACAUUUUGAUAUGUUGUACGUAUAUGUGUCUUCUCCUACAAUUCACAUUUUCGCGGUCAUUGGUUAUGUAUUUUAUUUGUUAUAAAUUUAUAAGUAAUCUAUGCUCAUAAAGAAAUCUAUGCUGGCAGUUUCUGGUUAGUCCACUUUGCUUGUCUCUUGGUUAUUAAUAGGACAAACAUGACUUAUUAACUUGUUAUAUGAAUAAUAAGCGUCUCUAGUUUAUUUUACAUAACUUGAGGAUUAGUCAUUAUAUAUAUAUAUAAAUUAAUUAUAGUAAAUCCUAGAGUAAUUGGAACUCACUCGUGGAAUCUUGUUUUGGAUUUCUAUUCUUUUGUGUUUAAAAUUUUAAGCAACUAGUAAGCUGAAUUUUGGUGAAGCAAUAAAUUAAUGAGUGUUUUGCCCAAGUAAGAGAAUAAGUGACGAAAUCUUGAGCUUCACACUCAUUAACUCAUUCAAAAGUUAUUGAGUUCUAAAAGAUUAUGAGAGUUGUUCCUUGUGUUGUCCAAAUCAAAUUGAAAGUAAACUAAAGUUUUUGAAAACACAUGUAUUAAGUUUCCUUCUAUGAUGAAUGCAUGUUUAAUAUUCAACAUCCAUAUGUGAGACAACAAAUCAGUAACGCCAACGUACUAUUAGCAUGCUCUACCAUCCAAGUCUUGGAAACCAAUGUACGCAUGCAUACGGCAUAUGGCAUAUACCACCAUGACAUGAAUCAAAUGGAAAGUCAUUAUUUCCAACACAAUCAGUUUCAGGCUGUAAAGCAAGUUUCAUUAGUUUCAUGUUGUAGAGCAAGGGUUUCAUAAUUUUGCACUAGAAUUUGCUAAAAUGGUGUAAGGAACCUCACCCUGAUUCAAACUAGCAUGACUCAAGUUGAAUUAUAAUCUUAAAGAUGACAACAUGGUUAAAUUGCGUGACUAUAUAUAAUGUAUAUAUGAUGUUUAUGUGCAUUGUCUAUCGUCUUUGUCUAUUGCAUAUGGUUGCAUUGGAUGGUUACAUGUUGGUCUUUAUAAGGAGUGUGAAGCUAAUACGAACUAAUGUUUGAUAUCGAUACAAUUGUGGUCCAGUUGUUUCAUACCGUUUGAUUGUUUGUGGUAUGGUUUUGUGUAUCCAUCAUACAUGCUUAAAUGAAUAUCAAGGAAAGAUUGGAAUAUCUUGUGCAUGAAAGAUUGUGAUACUUUUGUGACUUUUCAUUGAUAAUGUGAUUUCUUGCAUGUUAAAGAAACAUAAAAGAAGUAAAUAAAUAAAAUUAUGUGGUAAGAUGCUUUUGCGUUAACUAAUUGUCGUAGUAAGGUUGCUCCCAAAGCAUGCAUAUUUCAGAACUUUAUCAAAAGGGUUGUUCUGUAAUUACGUUAUGAUUAAUUAAAUUAGUGGGAGUGAUAACUUUAUAUUUGUUUUGCCUUACAUCUUGCAAAUUAUUAUGUAUUGUACUCUUUCGCCGUAGGGGUUCUUUCUGGUUUGAUUAAAAGAAUAUGUGCAAUAAAUACACUUGGUGGCCAACUAGUUAGAAUAAUGGCUAAUUGUACUACUUCGUGAAAGUGUUUUGGACUUGUGACUUCAAUUUUGAAGUAAUAAGGAAGACUGUUAUACGGUGAUACAGGAGAUCAACUUGUGAAUAUAAGGAUGGAGAUUAUGACUAUUCAAAUAAGGAUCUAUAUAUAUACGGCUAUUGCAUUUUCACGUAAGGUUGUUGCAUACAGUUUGCUAGAAACAUACCACUAUCGUCAAGCUUUAUUAUUAGUUUCAAUAUGCGAGAUUAGUGGGAAUGUUCAAAGAACAUGUAGCAAAUAUGGGUGUGCAUGAUAGUUUUGAUUCUGUAGGAAUGUGGGAGUAAAACAUGCUACUGCAUGAAUUAUAACUAUUUAUUAGUGUUGCUGCGAGUUUGUGUUUUGUUGUUUCAUUCAAGCUUAUAUUCAAUUGACAUUAUGGUUAUUGAUUCAGACUUAUUUAAAGCAAUUAAUGUGGCCAAUGAUUGUUCCAAAGAACAUAUUGGAUAAGUUAGUUUUGUGCAGGAAGCUAGAAAUCAACUCGAAGUCCAGUGUUUAAGGAUGAAAAGCUCUAAAGAUAAGCCUGAUUAAAGUGCACUGGACAUAUGAGUGUGGAAGGAAAAGGUGUGAGAAUUGUAGUGAUUACUGAAGUAUGGAUUGUACAUAUAUGCAUAUGUCAUUGACAUCAUACAGUGUGAUUUUGAAUAUCGUGAUUUCAGGGUGCAUGCAGUAUUGAUACAUGCAUUGUUUUCUGGAGUUCGAUUUUCAAAUGGUUACUGGUAGAUGUGUAUAGGAUAUGGAUUGCGUGAAACUCACGGUGAUCACUAAGGAAUGAUUUAUAAUGAACAUGUUGUUUCAAACCACAACUAGUUAACGUCCAAGUGGGAGAAUGUAAGAAUCCUAAUUGGACUCAACUAGUAGUGAUAUAGGUGUGUCAACAUGUUUGAAAUUAUAAAUCAGUUAGGGUUUUGUAUAUGUGUAAAACCAUGUCCUAUAAUUGAGGAGUUACAUCCAUCAUGCUUUGCAUUUUGAAGCACGUACUAGAACUACUUCCUCCACUACUGGAACUGAAAGCAACGGCUCUAUAACCAACCUCCAUGAUAGAUGGAAGUUGGGUAACCUUGCAUUAUUUAAAAAGGAUUCCCUGCUCACAGAGAAAAGGUUCUUCGUUUUUGGGACUAUCACCAUAAGGACAUACAGGUCUCCAGUGAGUAGAAUAGCAUUUUGCAUCGUGUUCAUGGCCUCUGCAGGAACGAAUUAGUGAUCUUUUGUAUUCUGCAAGUAA
RNAcentral lists this long non-coding RNA (5376 nucleotides) under Malus domestica (apple). Its description in RNAcentral is "long non-coding RNA (MDOM_LNC016077)". Lineage: Eukaryota; Viridiplantae; Streptophyta; Magnoliopsida; Rosales; Rosaceae. The record is from RNAcentral.